GCCUGAGUGAUGAAAUUGGUAUACAUGGGGGAUUCAAAAUCCCCUGUCGCGAGACGUGUCGGUUCGAGUCCGACCUCAGGUACCA
Molecule: transfer RNA, 85 nt
Filed under: Shewanella morhuae
Lineage: Bacteria; Pseudomonadati; Pseudomonadota; Gammaproteobacteria; Alteromonadales; Shewanellaceae
Also listed under: 1 other name
Description: tRNA-Leu(caa)
Rfam family: tRNA
About the family: Transfer RNA (tRNA) molecules are approximately 80 nucleotides in length. Their secondary structure includes four short double-helical elements and three loops (D, anti-codon, and T loops).
Source: RNAcentral